AUACGGAGGAUCCGAGCGUUAUCCGGAUUUAUUGGGUUUAAAGGGAGCGUAGGUGGAUUGUUAAGUCAGUUGUGAAAGUUUGCGGCUCAACCGUAAAAUUGCAGUUGAAACUGGCAGUCUUGAGUACAGUAGAGGUGGGCGGAAUUCGUGGUGUAGAGGGGAAAUGCUUAGAUAUCACGAAGAACUCCGAUUGCGAAGGCAGCUCACUAGACUGUUACUGACACUGAUGCUCGAAAGUGUGGGUAUCAAACAGGAUUAGAUACCCUGGUAGUCCACACAGUAAACGAUGAAUACUCGCUGUUUGCGAUAUACAGUAAGCGGCCAAGCGAAAGCAUUAAGUAUUCCACCUGGGGAGUACGCCGGCAACGGUGAAACUCAAAUGAAUUGACGGGG
This 393-nucleotide ribosomal RNA is filed under the name uncultured bacterium. RNAcentral's name for it is "partial 16S ribosomal RNA". It matches the Rfam family "Bacterial small subunit ribosomal RNA", at positions 523 to 918 of the family's 1533-position model. The record is from RNAcentral.